AUUGAACGCUGGCGGCAGGCCUAACACAUGCAAGUCGAGCGGAGCGGCGUACGGGUGAGUCAUGCCUAGGAAUCUGCCUGGUAGUGGGGGAUAACGUCCGGCAACGGGCGCUACUACCGCAUACUCUCAGAUGAUCCUAGGUCGGAUUAGCUAGUUGGUGGGGUAAAGGCCUACCAAGGCUACGAUCCGUAACUGGUCUGCGAGGAUGAUCAGUCACACUGGAACUGAGACACGGUCCAGACUCCUACGGUAGGCAGCAGUGGGUAAGAUUGGAAAAUGGGCGAAAGCCUGAUCCAGCCAUGCCGCGUGUGUGAAGAAGGGCUUCGGAUUGUAAAGCACUUUAAGUUGGGAGGCGUUACCAACAGAAUAAGCACCGGCUAACUUCGUGCCAGCAGCCGCGGUAAUUC
RNAcentral lists this ribosomal RNA (407 nucleotides) under uncultured bacterium. RNAcentral's name for it is "partial 16S ribosomal RNA". It matches the Rfam family "Bacterial small subunit ribosomal RNA", at positions 30 to 526 of the family's 1533-position model. The record is from RNAcentral.